This 253-nucleotide ribosomal RNA is filed under the name uncultured bacterium. RNAcentral's name for it is "partial 16S ribosomal RNA". It matches the Rfam family "Bacterial small subunit ribosomal RNA", at positions 524 to 776 of the family's 1533-position model. The record is from RNAcentral.
UACAGAGGUCCCAAGCGUUGUUCGGAUUCACUGGGCGUAAAGGGUGCGUAGGCGGUCGGGUAAGUCUGAUGUGAAAUCUCACAGCUUAACUGUGAAACUGCAUUGGAUACUAUUCGGCUAGAGAGUUGGAGGGGGGACUGGAAUUCUUGGUGUAGCAGUGAAAUGCGUAGAUAUCAAGAGGAACACCAGUGGCGAAGGCGAGUCCCUGGACAACUUCUGACGCUGAGGCACGAAAGCUAAGGGAGCAAACAGG